Molecule: ribosomal RNA, 357 nt
Filed under: Achromobacter xylosoxidans
Lineage: Bacteria; Pseudomonadati; Pseudomonadota; Betaproteobacteria; Burkholderiales; Alcaligenaceae
Description: bacterial SSU rRNA
Rfam family: Bacterial small subunit ribosomal RNA
Source: RNAcentral
AGCGCCCCAUAAGCAUGCAAGUCGUAAAAGGUACCCGUAUCGGUCUGGUGGCGAGUGGCGAACGGGUGAGUAAUGUAUCGGAACGUGCCUAGUAGCGGGGGAUAACUACGCGAAAGCGUAGCUAAUACCGCAUACGCCCUACGGGGGAAAGCAGGGGAUCGCAAGACCUUGCACUAUUAGAGCGGCCGAUAUCGGAUUAACUAGUUGGUGGGGUAACGGCUCACCAAGGCGACGAUCCGUAGCUGGUUUGAGAGGACGACCAGCCACACUGGGACUGAGACACGGCCCAGACUCCUACGGGAGGCAGCAGUGGGGAAUUUUGGACAAUGGGGGAAACCCUGAUCAAGCCAUCCCGCG